GUAACUCAAGAGCUUCCUCGCAUGCGUGAACACAUUUGGUGGAAGAAUUGGUAUUGAUUCACUUGGAAGGACAAACUAGCACCUGGACUCAAUCAGGGUUGAUUGGAGAGUGGCAACAUGCCCGCAUGCACACAUCACAUCUGAUAGGACACACUGACCAGCUCUGGAGAAGAAGGAGAUGAUCAAGUGUAACCCCUCCAGACUUAAAGCUAAUGUUUUAGCCCUUUGAACUCGCACUUAUUCACACACAGGAUACAUAUUGUCUUUCGUAUGGAGUCGGAGCGGAGCAAGAGCUGCAACACGAUCAAGACCUCUGAUUUGGUCGCAGACUCCAAUUUUAGAUACCUUGUCUGCAGACUUGUUGGCGUGCCGACUGGAUGCCUUAGUUUUGGGAUUAUGUCAACGCCUUCAGCAGAUGCUAUUGCAUUACAUAAAAGAUAUGUCAUGCUGGAGAGCUUCCACUCACUCCUAAUGUGUGCAUUCUGGCCACGGGCAACCACUUCACAUCCAGUCCUGUCACUGACACUGCAACCAAGAAUUCUGGGAGCCGUCCCAACGCUGUUUUGCAUCAUUUGUCAAAGGUCUGAUAUCCCAGCGGAGGCACGGCACACUGUGUGACGGCGGAGAGGAACAGGGUGGAGCAGCUAUUUUUACCUGAAGCCCAGGAGUGAAGCUCAACACAGAAGGUGAAGCGGGAGGAGAGUGGAAUUUGGGCAACGCUUGGGAAUGUGAAUUGGGUAACGUUAAUCAUCUGGACAGCAGAGACAUUAACUGUGCAUGAAGCGCGGUCUCUGGACAUUGCAUGUACUGUUCAAACACUGACAGAGGGCACACGCGCGCGAGACUCGGAGGCAAAGCGAGGACAUGGUGCGUUUCUGUGUGAAUCGGGGAGGAAGAGAGGACAUGCUGUAGUGUAAUUGUGUGUUUGUGUGUGUGGACAGCGUGCUUGUGCUGAGGUGAUAUACAGUGCCCUGACUUACUCUUGUAGAUGAAGUGCACUUUGCUCAAAGCUACACACCCCCAAAGGAAUAGACUGUGUUUUCCAACUCACUUUUCGGGUUGGGAAAACACACUGAUGAAAAAGGAUGAGGCUCUAUGAGGCACGCUCGGUCUUCGCAGGAGCCCCUGUCACACACUAACAUCAUUACAAUUUCAGCCUCGGUGCCUCCUAACAAAACUGCAUAUUUACUGUGUGUGUGUGUGUGUGUGUGUACCCGCUAUUGUCUUGUUAAAUUUUUUUAUUUAUUUAUUAUCUUUUUUUACAAUGGCCGCCGAACGCCUUUGCAUUCCGAAUGCAAUAUUGCGCCUUAAUAUGCCCCCAGUAUAACGCCGACAGAUUUGGAGAGUGCUGAUGUGGCACAUUUCGCAGUGGGAGCGUCCGGGACGAACGAAAAGCGCCGCGCUCGCCCCUGAGAGAGCAAGGGGGCUCACCUUUUGUUAUUAUUUUCAGAGGCGCCAAUUCGUGUUGACCUAGUUUGGGAGCGGGGAUUGUGGAGGCACUGAGCACCGAUGCAAAUGAAAUCUGUUGCUGUUGCUUCCUGCCUGUUGGAUAUUGAAGGAUUUCCUGGCACAUGAUGCAAUUGGGGGGGGCGGGAAAAAAACAACAACGCGCCUUAUACUUAGUGCAGUUUCAUGGAUAGCCUCGUCAUUUUUUUUUUUCAUUUUUUUUCUGACAUUUCUCAGCUUAUCUGGACUUAUCGUUAUCAGGUAUUUUCGCUGGUGGGUGUUUUCCUGGAAAUGUUGUGGCUUUUGAAUCUGAAUUCUUGACAGCAGCCUGCUUCUUGGUUUGGCAACAGAACUUUACAUGAACCUGCUCAGCAUUGCAAAUGACAGUGAUCACAGCAUGACUGAAGCACAACACUGCGCCUGAUUGACAGGUAGGUGUCAAAAAUACCCGUCAUCCUGCCAGCUGCGCAACCUAGCCACUACUACCAACUUUGGGUUAAGCAAGAAGAAGACGGUGCAUUUAGUCAUGACAUGCCCAAACUUUAGCCUAUUAAUACAAAAAGUGUUGGGAUGUGUAAUGUAUCACUCAGUACAAAUGUCAGUAACGCUUGUUAUGAUGGAUUUUAAAUCUGAAAUUAAUUAAGUGUGUUUUUACACAAGAUUAGCAGAGGAGAAAAAUCUGAACAAAUGUUAACUUCCUGUU
This is a long non-coding RNA of Mugil cephalus (flathead mullet), 2149 nucleotides long. RefSeq lists it as uncharacterized. The record is from RefSeq and is a predicted model, not a curated record. Lineage: Eukaryota; Metazoa; Chordata; Actinopteri; Mugiliformes; Mugilidae. The transcript has 3 exons.